UACGUAGGUGGCAAGCGUUAUCCGGAAUCAUUGGGCGUAAAGGGUGCGUAGGUGGCGUACUAAGUCUGUAGUAAAAGGCAAUGGCUCAACCAUUGUAAGCUAUGGAAACUGGUAUGCUGGAGUGCAGAAGAGGGCGAUGGAAUUCCAUGUGUAGCGGUAAAAUGCGUAGAUAUAUGGAGGAACACCAGUGGCGAAGGCGGUCGCCUGGUCUGUAACUGACACUGAGGCACGAAAGCGUGGGGAGCAAAUAGGAUUAGAUACCCUAGUAGUCCACGCCGUAAACGAUGAGAACUAAGUGUUGAAGGAAUUCAGUGCUGCAGUUAACGCAAUAAGUUCUCCGCCUGGGGAGUAUGCACGCAAGUGUGAA
RNAcentral lists this ribosomal RNA (367 nucleotides) under uncultured bacterium. RNAcentral's name for it is "bacterial SSU rRNA". It matches the Rfam family "Bacterial small subunit ribosomal RNA", at positions 524 to 898 of the family's 1533-position model. The record is from RNAcentral.